UUUAAAAUACACUGCCAAAAACCAUUUUUGUAGCCAUGUUUAAAUGAGUAAAUCAAUUCUGAAAUUAUUGGAACUCAGUAAAAAUAAAAACGACAAAGAAAAUGAAUAGAAGCAAUUCAAUAUUAUUAAGAAAGUGAAAAAGUUUCCGAGAUUGCUUGCUCCCAAAUGAAAAAAACCGUACACGAUCUGAAGGAUAAAUUACUACCCAAUGUUUCAACUUCUUGGGGCUAGGUCAUGAACACUCUUUUCUAGCUUUACAAACAAAAAUAGUUACUAAUCUCUACCAACACACUUGAACAGUCUGCAAACAGAACGCCACCGUCAUUAGAAGCUCUACCGUCCUCCUUCCUUGCUCGUUAUACCUAGUCACUGCACAAUACUUAGACGCGAUGUUUGAUAAGAUUAAAUAAUUUAAUAAAUUAGAUCAGUAAAAUAGUAUCUGAACUUGAAAAAAAUUAUUUGAUAAUUAAAAAAUAUUAAAUAUCUGAAUGACUUUUAAAUAUAUAAAUAUCAAUUGUAAAAUAUUUCAAAUUGAUUUUUCAAAACUCGGUAAUGAUCUUAAAAUUUAAAAAUGAAAGGAAUAAAAUAUUUAGUCUCCAUAUAUUAAAAUUUUCAUUAAGAGGCGGUUGGUUAUUAAUAAUUUAGUAUAACGAUAACAGAUAAAUAAAAUUUUAUCAAACAACUUUACCCUCUUACAAAAUCAGAUAUGGAACUAUUAAGAGAUAAUAAGUAAGAGGUAAACAAACAACACCUUAUAUUGUAUUUGGUUGAUAAAAAUGGAAUGACCAUUGCUUUCAGAAUGACUAAAAACAUGUUAGAUUAGUUUGUUGGAAUAGCCAUUCUAUAACUUUUAUGUUAAGUUUGAAUUGAAAGAAUAAAAUGAAUAGUAGAAUAAUUCAUUCUAUUCUAGUUGAAAUGAGUUAUUCGUAUGUUCUCCCCCCAAAAAACUAAACAUAAUUUUUUUUUUCAUUCCAAUCACAACCAAACACAAAAUAUAUAAAUGAGUCAUUCUAUUCUCACUUUCAUUAUUCAGAUCCAAACGUAACCUAGCAUUAGUUAUUAUUUUUCAUCCCUUCCUUUCUCAAUAGCUUCGUUAUUUUUGACCCGACUUUAUCUUAUUCGAUCGAUCGAUUCAAUCGCGCUUCGUUCGCCGUCCAUCACAGGUACAUGCCCCUCUUCUCUCCACUCUUUUAUCUCCUCUAUCUCCUACAUCUAUUCUCUGAAAUUGAUUUUUCUGUUGUUCUCUUUCAGUUCGGUAAGACAUCUGAUCUCAGUUUAUUCAUUUAUAAUUUCUUUACUUUGUUCAUCCAUUUGUGCUUAAUCAAAUCUGAUUUUGGUGCUCAAUCAAAUCUGAUUUUGGUGCUCAAUGCGCACCACAUCUUUGAUGUAUUGACGCUAUGAAGAUUACAACAAACCCUGUUUAUAUUGUUGGGGGCUUUUCACUUGCAUUCAUGUAGAUAGCAGUUCUAUUUUACAUUGGUGUCAAGCAUUUUAUCUCCAUUAUAGCAAUAUUGCAAAUUGUUUCAUGGAUCGGUGUUAUUAGGCAUUACUAGCUGCUUUCUCUUAUUGUUCAAAAUCUUUCCAUUUUAUCAUCUCUUACCAGCAUUGAUGAAUUAUAAAGCCUUUCCUAUUCCAAAUUUUAAGCUGACUUCACAUUCUGGUUUUGAUGCUGAGCUGUGUACAUCUAAUACAAUUAGUAGGCUGGCAGUAUUGUAGGCAAUUGCUAUGGCGGUCUUGGUGCUGUUGGUUGUUUGUUUACAUGACAAGGUUGUGCUUGAAAGAAUCAAGAUUACGGAAUUUCUGUAAUGUUUUUCUUUCAUUAUUCUUAUUAUGUCGAACACUAGUUGGCAGGAGUAAAAUACAGUUUAGACUUUAGAAGAUGCUGUAAAACGAGUGUAUCUGUGUGCUGUUUUAGCUCAUCCAUGCAAUACAUUAUAUCACAAAUAAUAUAGUAUUAUAUCCAGUUACUUAUAUUUUUUUUUAAGNNNNNNNNNNNNNNNNNNNNNNNNNNNNNNNNNNNNNNNNNNNNNNNNNNNNNNNNNNNNNNNNNNNNNNNNNNNNNNNNNNNNNNNNNNNNNNNNNNNNAACUCAAUUGAAAUGACUUUUAAAAUGCCUCGUAUGCUGGUUUUAUGCAAUUGAAUUGACUUUUAAAAUGCUUUAUAUGCUGGUUUUAUGUAUCUUUUUUAAGACGCCAUAGAUGUCCAUUAGUUAUUUUGUCGAUCAAAUGCAGUAAUGGCUCGAUUUAAUUUAGCUACAAGGAAAAAUAUCACAAAGGAGGAUUGUUAUACUAUUUACAAUGUGGUUGCACAUGAUUACAUUGGUGAAUUGAUUUUUUCAAAUUAUGGGUUUGAUUAGGCGGAAAGUUUUAAGGCAACAAUAUUCCAUUUAUAAGUUGCGGAGGACACGGAGGAUACGUUACAUUGAUGGGUUAGUCAAUGGAGGUGAUAAUAAUUGUAUUGAACUACUUUGGAUGAAUGACUACCUUUCACAAAAGAAGUAGAAGUAUGGAUUCAAUUGCGGAGGCUGUUUAUGACUUCAAGACUCAACUUCAUGAAACUACCAAAAUGUUUAGUCAAAUAAUUUGUGAGGACAAUCUGAUGGAGCAAAAAAAGAAACUCAAUGAGGAGCUCUUCAAAGGUAUCAAACUGCGAAGAAGAUGAUCGAUAAUAAGAACCUCAUGAUAUUGUUUUUUGUUGUACCAGAGGAUGAAAAAGAUGAUUUUGUGCAAGUUUUAUUUCGUGGAGACAUUUGAAAAUAUAGUGAAUUUAAACUUUUAGGCCUAUUAUAUGAUUAUAUGAAUGGUAAUAAUUACUUGCCUCAUAGGACGAAUAUGUCAUGGUAUUAUAUAAAAUUUAUUGUUAUGUGAAUACUUCAAAAACUAUUGUUUCAAAAGUGUGUGGUGUUUGAUUCAAAAUUAUAUAUAUCUCUUAGCUUGAAUAAUUGUAUGGAGGUGU
RNAcentral lists this long non-coding RNA (2954 nucleotides) under Panax ginseng (ginseng). RNAcentral describes it as "long non-coding RNA (PGIN_LNC006417)". Lineage: Eukaryota; Viridiplantae; Streptophyta; Magnoliopsida; Apiales; Araliaceae. The record is from RNAcentral.